RNAcentral lists this long non-coding RNA (697 nucleotides) under Phasianus colchicus (ring-necked pheasant). RNAcentral's name for it is "lncRNA (ENSPCLG00000004935.1)". Lineage: Eukaryota; Metazoa; Chordata; Aves; Galliformes; Phasianidae. The record is from RNAcentral.
GUAAAGUUUAAUCGAAACCUUUAAAGGCUGACACUGAAAUUAAAAAGACAGAUCAUUUUUUAUUUGCAAUGAAUUCUUUCUGUGAUCUGUAAGUAUUUCCGUGUUUGUUUAUAAGGGAAGUUGGAGUGCUGACCCCAGGCAAAGUCCCUUUUCUGUUACUCUGUUCUACCCUUCACUCCUGCUCUGCAUCAUGCAUCCACCAUUUUUUCAAGCAGACAUUGUUUUGGUGCAGUGCUUUGAACAAAACAAGAGCAAACAAAACCCAACAGUGCUGAAUGCUGCACCCUUGCUGCAUGGUGAAAGUAACUUGAGUUUACUGAGUCUCAGAGUUCAGCUUUGCAAUACAUCUUCUCUAACAUGAGGAUUGAUCAGCUUGCUUUCAUAGCCACAUAUAGGGAAACGAAAAUAGAAGUUGCUUGAAUCCUGUUAGCUCUUCUGGCAAGAAGCAGGUAUGGUUUCACCCAGCUCGUAACCUAUUGCUUCCCUCACAGUCCUUGUUAUUCCAGGCCAAAGCUUAAGCUCCAAAUCGGAACUGCAGGGACUUAGAAUGCUCUUCCAAAGGUCAGAUCCUGCAGCCAGGCAAACUAAACCUCCACCUUGGUAGGAUUGCAUCUACACAAAGACUGCAGGGUUUGCAGAAAUGUAGGAAAGCACAAGGCAGCCUCCUACAGCAAAGAAGGCGGUGGGGCAGGGUUCU